UGUUCUGUAGGACUGUAAAAAUAAAGUAUGUUUCAAGUAUUUGGGAAAUGUAUUCCUACAUUGUAUUUACAGUAUUUUACUAUUUGUUUGGCAGAACUGAAAGAUUACCAACACAAGGUGGUCGGGAACGUGUUCUGUCUCCUGAACAGGAAACUGAAAUCAUGAACAUGGUCCUAGAAAAUAACGCCAUAACAUUACGGCAAAUACAAAGAAAAAUAAUAGAAAACAACGAGAUAUUUCAAAAUAUUGAUAGGGUAAGCUUAUCAACACUGCACCGUGUCUUGCGCAGAAAUAAUCUCAGGAUGAAGCAGGUCUACAGGGUGCCAUUUGAACGCAAUUCAGAAAGAGUCAAAGAAUUGCGAUAUAACUAUGUGCAAAGAGUCCUUGAGCUAGCGGUGGCUGCAGUGGAGCACUAGUUCAUCUUCAUUGAUGAGGUUGGAUUCAACCUCACAAAAAGACGAAAGAGGGGAAGGAAUAUCAUCGGCCAGCGUGCCAUUGUUCAAGUCCCUGGCCAGCGCGGAGGGAACAUCACAAUGUGUGCAGCGAUUUACCCACCACGGCGUCAUCCAUCACCAUGCUACCCUUGGCCCCUACAAUACCGCCCAUCUGAUCACAUUCCUGGACACCCUACACAACACACUCAUUCCACCAGAUCAGGUAGAUGGCCCAGAGCAGCUCAGGUACGUUGUCAUUUGGGACAAGGUAAGUUUCCACAGGGCUGCUCUGGUUCGUAACUGGUUCACUGCCCACCCACGCUUUUUAGUUGUUUAUCUAACUCCAUAUUCUCCAUUCCUCCAUCCUAUUGAGGAAUUUUUUUCUGCCUGGAGAUGGAAAGUGUAUGACUGAAAUCCACAAACGCGUAUACCUCUUCUCCAAGCUAUGGAAGACGCAUGUGGAGAUAUAGCAGCUGAUGCUUUUCAUGGCUGGAAUCGCCAUGCUAGGCGAUAUUUCCCCCGCUGCUUGGCCAGGGAAAACAUUGCUUGUUUUUUUGUUUUUUUUAAAUGUAAUUUUAAAUUAAAUUCUUCUGUUUUGUAUGUAGACCACUGUAUGUGCAACUUUGUGUUGGUUGGGAAUGGGAUGUACACUGUGUACAUUGUUUUAGUGGGAAAAAUAAAAUAUAUUUGUUACCGUGUAUUUGUGUGUAUAAAAACAAUAUUCUCAAAUAUUUUACAACACACUUAUGUAUGUACUGUCUGUAGUAAUGGCAACACUGAACCCCAAAAAGGC
RNAcentral lists this long non-coding RNA (1227 nucleotides) under Salmo salar (Atlantic salmon). RNAcentral describes it as "lncRNA (ENSSSAG00000090961.1)". The record is from RNAcentral. Lineage: Eukaryota; Metazoa; Chordata; Actinopteri; Salmoniformes; Salmonidae.